RNAcentral lists this ribosomal RNA (490 nucleotides) under uncultured bacterium. Its description in RNAcentral is "partial 16S ribosomal RNA". It matches the Rfam family "Bacterial small subunit ribosomal RNA", at positions 28 to 507 of the family's 1533-position model. The record is from RNAcentral.
GAUGAACGCUGGCUGCAGGCUUAACACAUGCAAGUCGAGGGGAGACGCCGGGGAAGCUUGCUUCCCCGGGCGUCGACCGGCGCACGGGUGAGUAACGCGUAUCCAACCUGCCUCUGACUGAGGGAUAACCCGUCGAAAGUCGGCCUAAUACCUCAUGGCAUCGUCUGCGUGCAUCCAACGACGAUUAAAGAUUUCAUCGGUCAGAGAUGGGCUGCGUCUGAUUAGCUUGUUGGCGGGGUCACGGCCCACCAAGGCGACGAUCAGUAGGGGUUCUGAGAGGAAGGUCCCCGACAUUGGAACUGAGACACGGUCCACACUCACACGGGAGGCAGCAGUGCGGAAUAUUGGUGAAUGGGAGAGAGCCUGAACCAGCCAAGUAGCGUGCAGGAUGACGGCCCUAUGGGUUGUAAACUGCUUUUAGGCGGGGAUAAAGUGAGGGACGUGUCCUUAAUUGCAGGUACCGGAUGAAUAAGGACCGGCUAAUUACGUG